UGCGGGGUGGAGCAGUUUGGCAGCUCGUCGGGCUCAUAACCCGAAGGUCGCAGGUUCAAAUCCUGCCCCCGCUACCA
RNAcentral lists this transfer RNA (77 nucleotides) under bacterium. RNAcentral's name for it is "tRNA-Met". It matches the Rfam family "tRNA". From Rfam's summary of the family: Transfer RNA (tRNA) molecules are approximately 80 nucleotides in length. The record is from RNAcentral. RNAcentral also lists the same sequence under 6 other names.